CUCUGUUGCAAGUGGGGGUGCAGAGAGUGGCAGGGCUCCCCCUUCUCUUGCUCCAAACAGAAAAGUUUUAUUUGGCCCCAAGCUUCCUAUAAAUUUUCACCUCUAGGAAGACUUCAGCAGAAGAAAAAUGUCUGCAAACCAGUGCCCUGUGGAAUUAGAAACAAAUAUGAGAAGCUGAGUGAGCUUGGGCAAGCACGUGAAACCACAUCUUAUCUUUCUGAAUCCAACCUGAGAAUCUGAAGCCAUUUCUGUGGUGGCAGAGCUCCAUCCAUGAUGCAACAGUUAAAAAAAAGGACACAACUGACUACAUGCCUCCAGAGAAAACUCCUGAUUCUCCUAAAAGAAAAUAAUUUUUCUAUAGAGAGAUGGGGCAUUUGGCAAGACUCCCAGAAUACUCACCCCACUACCUGGAGAAGAAGAAUAAGAGUCUGGGCUGUACAGCCUUCAUUGAAUUUAAAGAUAUGUCUGCCACCUAAUGAUGAGCUGGGGAACAUAAUCAUCUCUGUUAUCUCUCUAUCUCCAGUGGUUUCCACAGUGCUUGUCACAUGGUAGGUGCUUGGUAAUUGCAUUUGGUGACAAUGAUACAAAAACAAUUAAGACAUAACUGUUGUCCUCAAAGAGUGAGUAGAAAUAAUUAAUGCAAUCAGAUAGUGUCUGUAACAGAUACAUGUGGAAAGUUCUAUGGACAUAUAGGAAGAGUGAUUAAAUCUCAAUGGGACUUUGCCCAUGUAAAGAGAAAUCAGAGGUAUCUCCAGAUAAAUAUAUAUCUUUUAAACAAAUUUUUGCAGUUUGUGUAGAAAUUAG
This 804-nucleotide long non-coding RNA is filed under the name Vulpes vulpes (red fox). RNAcentral's name for it is "lncRNA (ENSVVUG00000021242.1)". Lineage: Eukaryota; Metazoa; Chordata; Mammalia; Carnivora; Canidae. The record is from RNAcentral.